CGUGUAGGCGGUAUUGUAAGUCAGAUGUAAAAGGUUACGGCUUAGCCGUAGAGUGUCAUUUGAAACUACAGUACUUGAGUGCGAGAGAGGGUAGUGGAAUUCCCAGUGUAGCGGUGAAAUGCGUAGAUAUUGGGAAGAACACCAGUAGCGAAGGCGGCUACCUGGCUCGCAACUGACGCUAAGGCGCGAAAGCGUGGGGAGCAAACA
This 207-nucleotide ribosomal RNA is filed under the name uncultured bacterium. RNAcentral's name for it is "partial 16S ribosomal RNA". It matches the Rfam family "Bacterial small subunit ribosomal RNA", at positions 568 to 774 of the family's 1533-position model. The record is from RNAcentral.